AGCGAACGCUGGCGGCAGGCCUAACACAUGCAAGUCGAACGAACUCUUCGGAGUUAGUGGCGGACGGGUGAGUAACACGUGGGAACGUGCCUUUUGGUUCGGAAUAACUCAGGGAAACUUGUGCUAAUACCGAAUGUGCCCUUCGGGGGAAAGAUUUAUCGCCAUUAGAGCGGCCCGCGUCUGAUUAGCUAGUUGGUGAGGUAACGGCUCACCAAGGCGUCGAUCAGUAGCUGGUCUGAGGGGAUGACCAGCCACACUGGGACUGAGACACGGCCCAGACUCCUACGGGAGGCAGCAGUGGGGAAUCUUGCGCAAUGGGCGAAAGCCUGACGCAGCCAUGCCGCGUGAAUGAUGAAGGUCUUAGGAUUGUAAAAUUCUUUCACCGGGGACGAUAAUGACGGUACCCGGAGAAGAAGCCCCGGCUAACUUCGUG
RNAcentral lists this ribosomal RNA (433 nucleotides) under uncultured bacterium. RNAcentral describes it as "partial 16S ribosomal RNA". It matches the Rfam family "Bacterial small subunit ribosomal RNA", at positions 29 to 507 of the family's 1533-position model. The record is from RNAcentral.